UAGCGCGGCUAACUCUGUGCCAGCAGCCGCGGUAAUACAGAGGGUGCAAGCGUUAAUCGGAUUUACUGGGCGUAAAGCGCGCGUAGGCGGCUAAUUAAGUCAAAUGUGAAAUCCCCGAGCUUAACUUGGGAAUUGCAUUCGAUACUGGUUAGCUAGAGUGUGGGAGAGGAUGGUAGAAUUCCAGGUGUAGCGGUGAAAUGCGUAGAGAUCUGGAGGAAUACCGAUGGCGAAGGCAGCCAUCUGGCCUAACACUGACGCUGAGGUGCGAAAGCAUGGGGAGCAAACAGGAUUAGAUACCCUGAGUAGUCCAUGCCGUAAACGAUGUCUACUAGCCGUUGGGGCCUUUGAGGCUUUAGUGGCGCAGCUAACGCGAUAAGUAGACCGCCUGGGGAGUACGGUCGCAAGACUAAAACUCAAAUGAAUUGCCGGGGGCCCGCACAAGCGGUGGAGCAUGUGGUUUAAUUCGAUGCAACGCGAAGAACCUUACCUGGCCUUGACAUACUAGAAACUUUCCAGAGAUGGAUUGGUGC
RNAcentral lists this ribosomal RNA (530 nucleotides) under uncultured bacterium. Its description in RNAcentral is "bacterial SSU rRNA". It matches the Rfam family "Bacterial small subunit ribosomal RNA", at positions 488 to 1017 of the family's 1533-position model. The record is from RNAcentral.